This 115-nucleotide ribosomal RNA is filed under the name Glomus sp. Its description in RNAcentral is "partial small subunit ribosomal RNA". It matches the Rfam family "Eukaryotic small subunit ribosomal RNA", at positions 1352 to 1487 of the family's 1831-position model. The record is from RNAcentral. Lineage: Eukaryota; Fungi; Glomeromycota; Glomeromycetes; Glomerales; Glomeraceae.
UAAAUAGCUAGGCUUAGCAUUGCUAGGUCGUCAGCUUCUUAGAGGGACUAUCGGUGUUUAACCGAUGGAAGUUUGAGGCAAUAACAGGUCUGUGAUGCCCUUAGAUGUUCUGGGC